Long non-coding RNA from Arachis duranensis, 2020 nucleotides. RefSeq lists it as uncharacterized. Lineage: Eukaryota; Viridiplantae; Streptophyta; Magnoliopsida; Fabales; Fabaceae. The transcript has 4 exons. The record is from RefSeq and is a predicted model, not a curated record.
GCCAAGGGCAGAGCCCAACAAACAGAAUCCAAACCCCACAAAAACCCGCCCCGAAGAUCCUCCUCUGAUCCUUUCGACUGCUGGGACUUGAGGAAUUGGUAUCCGUGGCCACCAACCCACAGGGCGGACCUUCCAGCGGCCGCCUAGUCCAGCUCCAAACUCGUUGCAGAUUCAAUCGGGCCGACUCUGGCCCAAGCUACGGCCCUACACCCCGGCGAGUCUACGAUUAACCAUUUCAGAUAAAAUAUCAUGAUCGGUUUGAAUCCGGUUGCUCGAUGGCUUCCCGAUCUGUAAACAAUCGAUAGUAGGGACAGUGGGGGAUCUCAGUUCUCCAUAAGUCUGCCAGCAGAAUGGAUUACAUAGAUGGUAUUGCUGCUGAACUGGUUUCAGCUCCACCUUGUUUAACGACACGUCCACGCAUGGCAGGCUAUCACUGCAUGCGAAGUGAACCGGCUUUACCGUUGAUGUUUGAGACACAGGCUCUGGUGUUAUCCUUACCUAAGCUUCCAAUGCUGAUUCCAUGUCCUGGCCCACAGUUGACAUCGUGUACAAAUACAUUUGAGCACCCAGUUUGUAUGGAAAUACAGUCAUCACCUGCACCAUGGUUGAAAUUCAGAACAAUACUUAUUAACCAACUCAAAAACUACUUUAUGGUGUGAGUUAUAUAUGUUUGUGUUUGGUUUUGCUCGUGAUGGAGCUUCUCAUGUUCUAUAUCCACCCUGUGUUCUGCUAAUUAGAGCUUCAAUUAAGGGUUGAUAGCAAUGAUGCAGUGAAAACUUUGUGUUUGACACGUGUCAUGUAGUAGAUGGGGUGUAGCAUUGGUAGUUUGUUUGCUUGCCAUGUGAUAGGAUAAUGCUAUGCUCUUUUAAAACUAAUAUUUACUUUUUUUGUUUUGAUUUGUUUUAAGUAACUUUAUGUUAGUUGACCUUAUAAGGUUUUUUUUUUUAGGUUUUUUGUGCUUAUCUAAUCCUUGAAAAGAAGUGUUGGAGCAACGGUUGAGUUGUCUCCAUAUAACCUCAAAGCCACAGGUUCAAGCACUGGAAUCAGCCACUGAUAUAAUUACCAGGCUUAUUCAAUCAUUGAGACUCAAUUGUUUUAAUGAUCAUUGUAAUGCUGCAAUUACUUAUACAUAAUUGAAGUCUUGAAGUAAUUACCACAUGCUAAGUUGCUGGUAUGAAUCAUCACAUUUUUGGAAUUCUGAAGGUGAAUUCCAUCUGUAUUUGGGCUGUUACCAGGGGAUGAUAUGCUAACAUCAUGGACCAGAACCUCAUUGCAGUUGUCAAACUUGAGGUGGCAUUGAGGACUAUUUUGAAUUGUUAUGCCUGUCACUACUGCAUUAAAACUCCCAUAAAAUCUUAAUGCCUGUGCAAAUUAGAAAAACAAGAUUAUGUUAAAACAGUCCCUAAACUUGAUUCAAAACUGCUCUUUGUGGAGUUUCAAACUGAUCUUACAGUUGGCUUGAUGCUUGGCAUUUUCCUCCCCAUAGCACUCUGAACCUAGUAUAGUUGAAGCAUAGUACAUUAUUAGUUUCAAUUUGUUGAUAUUUUGUCAUGUAAAAUUUUGUAGAAGUAACAAAGAUAAUUUACCGGCACCGGUGGUUUCCAUGUGUGGUUUAAAGGGACUAUGAGCUUUUCUUCACCAUCUAUAGGGUUAUCAAAUGGCUGGUCUUCCCACCAAACUGAGCCUCUUCCAUCAAUGACACCCUUUCCUUGAAUGGUGAUUCCCACCAGCUUUGUAAACUCCAGCCAUUGUAGCAGUCCUCCACACCAAGCAUUUGCAUUUGUUGGAGCAAUAAUUGUACCAUCAAGCUGACACAAAUAAUUGUACCACCCUUAUUAGCCUAGUUUGCGUUGUUGCUACAUUAUUUUUAUUUUUAUUUCUAAUAUUUAGAACUUAUAUAAUAGACAGAAUUGUUAUAAAUGUUCUAGAAAUCAUAAGGACUGUUAGUUGAAAUAAAACAAUAAGACUGGUUUAUGUAAGUCAAUACUCAACAGCAUAUUUCAUCAUUUUGUCUACUCAA